UGCUCAAAUCUCAGCCCCCCCCCCCCAAUUAUUGACAUUUUUUACUCAACUUAUAAACAUCAAAACAUUUUUUGACUCUAGUAAAGGCGAUUGAAACAUCUGUUGGAGCUAUAUUGAAAGUACCGCAAGGGAAAAUUGAAAUAAAAAUGAAACAACUAUUAAGCACAAAAUAGUAAAGUUUAACUCUUGUACCUUUCGCAUCAUGAUUUAACUAGUCUAACCAAGCAAAAUGAAUUUAAGUUUGCCCCCCCGAAACUAAACGAGCUACUUCAGGGCAGCUUUAUGAGCCAACCCAUCUCUGUUGCAAAAGAGUGGGAAGACCCUUAAGUAGAGGUGACAGACCAAACGAGUUUAGUGAUAGCUGGUUACUUAAGAAACGGAUUUUAGUCCAACCUAAAGAUCUUCUAAUAUUUAAAAAUAAAUAUUUAACUUUAGAGUAAUUCAAAUAAGGUACAGCCUAUUUGAAACAGGAUACAACCUACACAAAUGGGUAACUAAAUUAACCCAUAAUAAAGUGGGCCUAAAAGCAGCCAUCUUCAAAAAAGCGUCAAAGCUUAAUCAUUAUUUAAUUAAAUUUCUUUAACCUCAUAAAACCCUUAAUCAAUACUAAGUAAUUCUAUAUGUUUAUAGAACUUAUUAUGUUAAAACUAGUAACAAGAAGAAGAACUUCUCCAAAAUGUAAGUGUAAAUCAAAUCGGACACACCAUUGAUUCUUAACACCUAUGAACUUAAAGUAACAACUAAUCAAGAAAACCUUACUUUCAAAUAUGUUAAUCUAACACAAGAACAUUUCAAGAAAGAUUAAAAGAAAAAGAAGGAACUCGGCAAAUAUUAACCUCGCCUGUUUACCAAAAACAUCGCCUCUUGAAUUCAACCCAUAAGAGGUCCAGCCUGCCCAGUGACUUUGUUCAACGGCCGCGGUAUCCUAACCGUGCGAAGGUAGCGUAAUCACUUGUUCUUUAAAUAAGGACUAGUAUGAAUGGCAUCACGAGGGUUAUACUGUCUCCUUUCUCUAAUCAGUGAAAUUAAUCUUCCCGUGAAGAAGCGGGAAUAAUUUUAUAAGACGAGAAGACCCUAUGGAGCUUCAAACUUUCGCAACAAUUGUUACUAUCUUAAAAAAUCCAAGGAUAACAAAAACUACACUAACUCUAUGUUUGCUGGUUUUCGGUUGGGGUGACCGCGGAGUAAAACUUACCCUCCACGAUGAAUAGGUCCUUACCUUAAGCAAAAAACUACAAUUUUAUGCAUUAUUAUAUUAACACUAUUGACCCAAUUUUUUGAUCAACGAACCAAGUUACCCUAGGGAUAACAGCGCAAUCCAUCUUGAGAGCUCUUAUCGACAGAUGGGCUUACGACCUCGAUGUUGGAUCAGGGUAUCCCAGUGGUGUAGCCGCUACUAAGGGUUCGUUUGUUCAACGAUUAAAACCCU
Molecule: ribosomal RNA, 1429 nt
Filed under: Cruziohyla calcarifer (splendid leaf frog)
Lineage: Eukaryota; Metazoa; Chordata; Amphibia; Anura; Hylidae
Description: partial 16S ribosomal RNA
Rfam family: Bacterial large subunit ribosomal RNA
Source: RNAcentral